GGAAGUUGGGUGUGGCAGGCACUGUGUUGACAUAUCCAGUAUAGGAGUGCCCUGGGAGCCCAUCUCUCAUUUCUGAAAGAGAUAGCAUUGUAGAUCUGGACGUUUCAUCACAUAUUCCCAGGAAGGCCCAGCCAAAUGCAGCUGGUAAGUUGCUGAAUGUGGAAUUCCUCUUGGCCUUCCAACUCCUUGCACUCUUCCUUCUGGGACUACUUUGGUUUUUCAGUUUAUUACCUGUUUGGAGUUGGCUUGUUUCUGGACUCUCUCUUCUGCUCAGGUGAGCAGACUUCUAACUGGAAUACCUGGCUCUUGGACAAGGCACUGUGCCAGACAUUGGGCUAGGUGCUGGGAAUUGAAAUAAUAAACUAUUUCCUGAUUUCUCUUCUCUCUUCUGGAGAAAGAAUUGGAUUAGAACAAGAUGAUACGCUGAGAACCAAAUCUACCCUGUCAGCUUACUCUUCAAGAACAAGCCAAGCAACUGAAAACUGAGUCCACGCUCAGCUAAGUCAAAGCCCAGGGGAUUACUGGCAUCACCACCCACCCCACCUGGAGCAUGACAAUGUCUGUGAGAGAAUAAGAGAUGGGUGGUGUCACCACUAUCUUUCUCUUUCUGUUCUCCAAAUUAUAAUAAUAACAGUCUCUUUUCCUCCUCUAAACAUUUUUUAUAAAGGAGGUUGAACUCAGUUAAAAUAUCUUGAAAUUACUGUGGCUGGUUUACAAGCCACUCUGGAAAGUUAUGCUCUGGCAUAAAUUUAGCAGCUAUGUUUUACUGUAAAAAGAAACCCAGGGACAUAGCUUAUUAAGAAAAUGUGGUCAAAGUGAGAAUUUUCUUUGGUUUUAUGAAUAAAUAUAGAUAUUAUAUUACAAAAUUAGAUUUAUAUCGUUGAGCUUGAUACUAGACAGUAAAUAUUAUUUCUUAGGAAAAGGUUAAUACCUCAUUAAAUUUUAAAAGUUGAACACAAAAUCUCUAACAAAUUAAAUUUAAAUAUUUCCAUUUCAAUAUCAUUGCAGACAGUUCAUGGUAGUGAAGUACAUUGAGAAAACUUGUUCUUUAAGAAAACAAACUUCUGGGUAAAAGAUAGUAAUAUAUCAGCAAAAAAAGAUUUUUAUCAAGAGGGUUGAAGGCUAUAGCAUCAUCAAGAUAAAGAUCAAAUAGCAUGGAGGCUAAAAUAAACCUGUGCUUUUUUGAGCGGGUGGUCAAUAGAAAUUGGCUCUGUUGCUGGAGAUCCUGAAUUUUAAAUUCUGGUGAUCAGGCCAGUAAUGUGCUGAUGAAGCAGAAAUGUCACAGCAUAUUUUACCAAGUCAAAGACAGGCAACAGUUAUGAGAGGGACAUGGAGAACCUGGUAGAGCUCUGUGUACUAUGCUGAAUUAAUAAAUAGAGAACUAACUUAAGGUGGACAAAACUGCUGGGUGUCUCUCAGGCUUCUAAUGUCUUCAAAAUGUAUUUGAAAACUUAAAGCCUUAUAAUAAUAAGAAGAAGACUAGUCCAAGUUCUGUUUAUUUCCUUUUAAAAGGAGUCAACACUUGAGGAGACAAUUCUGUACUCCCACAACAGGAAAAAUGCAUCCUUUUACCGUGUGAAUAAUUGAACCAGAGUCAUUGCCCACUCUUCAGGAAAUAGCUCAUGUAAACUUUUGGCCGACCUGUGCUUCACAGUGCACUUACCACUUGACAUCCACCUCUGUAAACUUUUAUUUGUAUUACCAAAUAUUGACUGCAAACAAAAAAAAAAAGGAAGAAAAAGGAACCUCCCUUAUACAAUUACAGAACGUUAGAGCAAAAGAGAACUGAAAGAUGAUCUUGUGCAGGCCACCAUUUUAUAGAUGAAGAAACAAAAGCACAGAGUGACUUGCUAAUGCUUCACCAAGCUGGCACAGCCUGGCCUAGAGCUACAUUCCCCUGUGUCCCAGACCCACAUGCCAGCACCAACAUCAUGGAUCCUCUCUCUCUCUCUCUUUUGAGACAGAGUCUCACUCUGUUGCCCAGGCUGGAGUGUAGUGGUGCAAUCUUGGCUUACUGCAGUCUCUGCCUCCUGGGUUCAAGAGAUUCUCCCGCCUCAGCUUCUUCAGUAGCUGGGACUACAGGCAUACUGCCACCAUAGCCUGCUAAUUUUUUUGUAUUUUUAGUAGAGACGGGAUUUCACCAUGUUGGCCAGGCUGAAGAUCCUCUCUCUUAUUGCUUGAUGAAAAAAUGUAUUAGGCACUGGGAGGAUAGAAAUUAAAGAGCCCCAAUACUUGACAUCUAGGAGCUCACAACCCAAUAAGAAAAGUACACAUGUAGACCACCCUCCAAUAUUUUACUGUACUCUGUACACUGUUGCUAGAAUGAUCUUUCUGAAAAUACAAAUUGUAAUGUAUCUAACCCUGUGUAAAACCAUGCAGUGGCUCCUUGUUCCCUAUAAGGUAAAGCUUUCUCCUUUUUCUCCAGCCUUCUGUCUAACUGGGUCUAUGCUGAUGCUCAGGAUCCAGCCAUAGAGAACCAAUUGCUUUUCCCUAAAUAUAGCAGGCUUUUCCCUAAAUAUAGCAGGCCCUUUCAUCCUGCCAGGCCUUUGUUAUGCUGUUCUCUGCCUGGAAUGACCUCCUCUCAUUACCCUCCAGGAGGGUUAUCUCUCUUGUAAUAGAUUUCCUUAGGUUUCUCUCCUUCCACCUCCAACCCCACAGACAGAAUUAACCAUUCCUUCCUUUGUUUAUUUGUCCUGCCCAUAUUUCUCCUACAGCACCUAUAGUGCUUUGUAACAUUGAUUUUUUUUUUUUUUUGAGA
This 2758-nucleotide long non-coding RNA is filed under the name Homo sapiens (human). Its description in RNAcentral is "HSALNT0295046". The record is from RNAcentral. Lineage: Eukaryota; Metazoa; Chordata; Mammalia; Primates; Hominidae.